CAUAGCAGCUUCCCAAAGCAGGCGGCUCCCUGGGCUGGAGGAGGCGCGAUGCCCAGAAAGAACCCAGGUGCAGGUGGGAGAGGGAACCCAGCCUAGCAGCGGGAAGUGGGGUGAGGACCACACUCGUCCGAGUUGGACAAGGGCGAGGUGCACUUCGCGGCGUCAUGCCCUCCUCACUGCCCAGCCUGGACCUGCCCCUCCUGUCCCCCUCCCGACUCACUUCCCAUGGCAAGGAGGUGCCUGCGAUCAGUAGCCAGCAUCGCUGUGGAAGCGGCGAGGUCCACACUGCCCUGCCCAACCCUCCUGGGCUGCCCUCCUCCUCGCAUGUCGCCUGCUGGGAUUCCAGUCCAGCUGCCUUGCCACCAACGGGCUGAGAACCGUUAAGAGCUACCGUUUCCAGCGUGCCUGGCCAGGCGCGCGCCGCUUCGCUCCUCCCCCCGAGAACUUCACCAGGCUCCCGAGCCUGGGGCAUGCUAGGAUUGUAGUCCCGAAGCUCUUGAAAGGGCGGGAGCGGUGAAGAGACUACAUACAGCUCCCAGCAUGCACAGCAAGGCCGGCACAACCGGACUUCGCCUUCAGGACUGCGCGCCGCCUCCUGUUCAUGCUGGCUGGGAUUGUAAUCCAUUCGCCCAGUGAUGAAAAAACUGGAAGCUAAUCAAAGACGACAACUCCCAGUAUGCCAGGCUUAGCUCCCGCCCACCAAUCCACACCUCCCUGUGUCCAGAGCAGUUCUGCCAUGCCAAGGAGAGCCUGGUUGUUCCCAAACCUCUCCUGCCUGCCAGGCGACAGCGGGACCAGGGUGGCUGAUCGUAUCUUGUAAUUAUGUCACUACCUCCCCCUAAGAUGCUGGCUUCAUGCUUCGUCAGUGCCAGAAGUUUGAUUCCUCACGGAGCAGCAGGAGACAGGGAGCUGCUCACAAACCUGUCAAGGUUCCCAUAGUAACGCUCCUCCUCCUGGAGCUGGACUCGCCCCGCCUCUUCCCUCGGCUCUGCCCCUUCUCCUCGCCCCGCCCCUUCCCUCGGCACCGUCUCUGCAUCGGAACGGUACCUCCUCCUCGCCCCACCCCUGACACGCCCCUUCGGACAUGCGCAGUGUAGCCCCUGCGUAGGAAUGUGGUUAACGGCCAGAUGUCUGACAGUUCUCCGACUUCUGGGCAUUCCACGUAGGACGCUUUCUCAUGAGUGUCUGAAACCGUCAGUUCACUGCCAGAAAUGGAGAUACAUGUUUCCUGAUAAACUGGCACUUGCCUUUUCAAAGCCACCAUUUCCUCUAUCCUCUGGGCUGUCACAAAUCCUCCUCUGCACCUCAGGAGUGCCCCUUGGAGCCACGUUCACCACUUCUCUGCCCCUGACCCAGGCUGGUUCCCAGGCCUUGGGGUCCUAGCGUGGACCUCCUGGAAGUAAUUAAUGCAGUUUUCCAGAUUAACUCGAAGUACCCCACGACUAAACGCUAAUGAAACUAGAGGAGGCACAGCUUCAGCUCCGUGCAGGAUGGAUGCACAAGAGCAGAAUCUCCAUGGGACGCCUUUCUGGAGCAUCAGUAUUACUGCAGGAUUUGGAAGAAACAAAUUCAAAUAAUUUCCAAAGUAAGACACUGGAAAUUUAAGAGGAAGCUGGAAACUCAUCUGCCUUUAAUACUUUUUUUUCUCCAAGAAAAAAAAAGAAACUCUAAGGAGAACCUAUUUUUCACUCUUCUAAGUAGUUAAAAUUAGAAAUCACAGCAAGUCAAUAGAAAGCUCUGCCUUGCCAGUCUCCUAAAUCACAAUAUGGCCUUGGUCAAAGCAACCUAUAUGUCAUCAUACAAACUACAGGCUACGAUGAGCACCUCAUUUUCUUUCUGGAAGGCUGACCUUAAAUGUCCUGCACAUUCCUAUAGUGCAUAUUUACCCUUUUCCUAUACUAAGUAAGCCCUAAAUCUUGGCAGUAACAGCCUGGGGAACUACCUGUCUUGCUACCACUCAAGACCAUGCUUCUGUCCACAAAUUCCCCCCAAUAAAUUACCCUUUACUGACAAACUGGA
Homo sapiens (human) is the source of this 2019-nucleotide long non-coding RNA. The record is from Ensembl. NCBI's taxonomy places the organism in Eukaryota, Metazoa, Chordata, Mammalia, Primates, Hominidae.